CUACGGGAUGCUGCAGUUAGGAAUCUUCUGCAAUGCGCGAGAGCGUGACAGAGUGAGCCAGAGUGCUUUUCUUAUUUGAAAAGCUUUUGUGAAAUGUAAAAAGUUUCACGAAUAAGGACUGGGUAAGACUAGUGCCAGCCGCCGCGGUAAUACUAGCGGUCCAAGUCGCAGUCAUUUUUAUUGGGUCUAAAACAUCCGUAGCUUGUUUUAUAAGUCUCUUGUGAAAUCCGGUUUCUUAAGAAUUGGGUGUGCAAGAGAUACUGUAGAACUAGAGACUGGAAGACGUAAGAAGUACAAUCAAGGUAAUGGUAAAAUAUGUUAAUCUUGGUUGGACUAACAACAGCGAAGGCAUCUUACGAGGACAGUUCUGACAGUAAGGGAUGAAGGCUAGGGGCGCAAAACGGAUUAGAUACCCGGGUAGUC
RNAcentral lists this ribosomal RNA (423 nucleotides) under uncultured archaeon. RNAcentral describes it as "partial 16S ribosomal RNA". It matches the Rfam family "Archaeal small subunit ribosomal RNA", at positions 323 to 746 of the family's 1478-position model. The record is from RNAcentral.